This 497-nucleotide ribosomal RNA is filed under the name uncultured bacterium. RNAcentral's name for it is "partial 16S ribosomal RNA". It matches the Rfam family "Bacterial small subunit ribosomal RNA", at positions 28 to 507 of the family's 1533-position model. The record is from RNAcentral.
GAUGAACGCUGGCGGCGUGCCUAAUACAUGCAAGCCGAGCGAACGGACGAGAAGCUUGCUUCUCUGAUGUUAGCGGCGGACGGGUGAGUAACACGUGGAUAACCUACCUAUAAGACUGGGAUAACUUCGGGAAACCGGAGCUAAUACCGGAUAAUAUUUUGAACCGCAUGGUUCAAAAGUAAAAGACGGUCUUGCUGUCACUUAUAGAUGGAUCCGCGCUGCAUUAGCUAGUUGGUAAGGUAACGGCUUACCAAGGCAACGAUGCAUAGCCGACCUGGGAGGGUGAUCGGCCACACUGGAACUGAGACACGGUCCAGACUCCUACGGGAGGCAGCAGUAGGGAAUCUUCCGCAAUGGGCGAAAGCCUGACGGAGCAACGCCGCGUGAGUGAUGAAGGUCUUCGGAUCGUAAAACUCUGUUAUUAGGGAAGAACAUAUGUGUAAGUAACUGUGCACAUCUUGACGGUACCUAAUCAGAAAGCCACGGCUAACUACGUG